GGAGUUCCAGCUCUUCGGAGUAUUUCACUUGCGAAGAAGAUAACAUCUCAAGCACAUCCUCACCUGGCAGCGAGAUGUCUGAUUCUGAGUUGGAUGUCGUCGAGACGGAGCUAAACCACAUAUUCAUGGACCUACAAUUGCUUUCUCGACGGCUCCAACAGGCCAACACCAGCCCAAACCAAACGAUGCAAUCAGACAUUGGCCGAUUUCAGAAGAAACUGUUACACACGGAUGAUCGAAUUAAAAAAAUGUUUUACUGAAUGAACGUCCAAUCAAACCUGCUCUUGUCCUGUGAACAGAAGAAAGAUCGAAAUAUCUGAUCGUUUUCUGGCACAGGGAAAACCUUUGUCACCUACCUUUUGAACUCAAGGAAGAUCAGACAUCUGAUCGCCUUUUGGCACAGGAAAACUUACCUCCGCUGCCAGGUGAAGUCAGGGGAUAUCAAAACAUCUAGUCGUCUUGUGGCACGAGGCAAAUUUCGAUCAGUUGUCUGCUGAAAUCAAGGAGCAUUAAAAACUGUUUACCUUUUGGCACAGUCAAGCUGAUUUCCACAACCAUGUGAACUCAAGAAAGGUCGAAAAAUCUGAUCGUCUUCUGGCAGAAGGCAAGCCUUUAUUAGUUGCCUGCUGAACUCAA
Argiope bruennichi is the source of this 636-nucleotide long non-coding RNA. RefSeq lists it as uncharacterized. The transcript is spliced from 3 exons. The record is from RefSeq and is a predicted model, not a curated record. Lineage: Eukaryota; Metazoa; Arthropoda; Arachnida; Araneae; Araneidae.